Molecule: unclassified non-coding RNA, 21 nt
Filed under: Influenza A virus
Lineage: Riboviria; Orthornavirae; Negarnaviricota; Insthoviricetes; Articulavirales; Orthomyxoviridae
Description: 3' vRNA from Influenza A virus (PDB 8BEK, chain R)
Source: RNAcentral
UAUACCUCUGAAUAAACUAUU